RNAcentral lists this small nucleolar RNA (84 nucleotides) under Xenorhabdus doucetiae. RNAcentral describes it as "Small nucleolar RNA Me28S-U3344". Lineage: Bacteria; Pseudomonadati; Pseudomonadota; Gammaproteobacteria; Enterobacterales; Morganellaceae. The record is from RNAcentral.
UUGUUUUACUAUAAUGGCUGUCGUAAUACGCCCUCAGAAGACUAUGACACAUAAUGAGUGGGCCAAAAAUUUUUACAUUACCAU